Molecule: ribosomal RNA, 501 nt
Filed under: uncultured bacterium
Lineage: Bacteria
Description: partial 16S ribosomal RNA
Rfam family: Bacterial small subunit ribosomal RNA
Source: RNAcentral
AGUGAACGCUGGCGGUAGGCCUAACACAUGCAAGUCGAGCGGAGAUGAGGUGCUUGCACCUUAUCUUAGCGGCGGACGGGUGAGUAAUGCUUAGGAAUCUGCCUAUUAGUGGGGGACAACAUUCCGAAAGGAAUGCUAAUACCGCAUACGUCCUACGGGAGAAAGCAGGGGAUCUUCGGACCUUGCGCUAAUAGAUGAGCCUAAGUCGGAUUAGCUAGUUGGUGGGGUAAAGGCCUACCAAGGCGACGAUCUGUAGCGGGUCUGAGAGGAUGAUCCGCCACACUGGGACUGAGACACGGCCCAGACUCCUACGGGAGGCAGCAGUGGGGAAUAUUGGACAAUGGGGGGAACCCUGAUCCAGCCAUGCCGCGUGUGUGAAGAAGGCCUUAUGGUUGUAGAGCACUUUAAGCGAGGAGGAGGCUACUGAGACUAAUACUCUUGGAUAGUGGACGUUACUCGCAGAAUAAGCACCGGCUAACUCUGUGCCAGCCGCCGCAGUAA